This is a long non-coding RNA of Actinia tenebrosa (Australian red waratah sea anemone), 329 nucleotides long. The record is from RefSeq and is a predicted model, not a curated record. Lineage: Eukaryota; Metazoa; Cnidaria; Anthozoa; Actiniaria; Actiniidae.
CAAGGCUACUGUGCUACAUUCGACACUUUUCAUUGUUUUUUUCUAAUAGUAAUGCCAUCGUGCAUGUUGCAUGAUAAUUUAUUCCGGAUACGAGUUUACAUCCAUUUGUGCCAUGAGUCGUCCAUACACCGUACAUGGAGAAGGUGAUCGAUGGUUAAAGGAUCGAAAGGGUCGUAGGAAUGGACAAUGGGACAGUUGCUGAGCAAGCUGCAGUGUCAGGAGAUCAGUGUACACGCAUACGACUGCAAAGGUCUGGGGAAGUGGCCAGUGUACGAGACAUGGAAUCUUAUUGGCUGCUAAACAAUGAAUGAGACAAAUUGCAGAAGAUC